UAAAUGACAAAUGAGAAAACAUACCAUAAACAUAGAAUAGUAAAAUUAAAAUGUCAUGUCGAGACAAGAAUUCCUUGCAUUAGUAACCGUUUCUGCGGUUUUUUCAUGUGUUGCUACUGUUUUAGAUAAACAUAAUCAUGGGCGAAGACGAUAGUCGAAAUGAUCACAACCAAAAUUUGACGUCUACUACAAAGUAGCCACAAACAAUGAAAUCUAGAAGAGUAGCGCACUAACUAAAUUACAGUAAGAAGCAAAA
Molecule: long non-coding RNA, 256 nt
Organism: Trichoplusia ni (cabbage looper)
Lineage: Eukaryota; Metazoa; Arthropoda; Insecta; Lepidoptera; Noctuidae
Exons: 2
Source: RefSeq, a predicted model, not a curated record